AUUGAACGCUGGCGGCAGGCUUAACACAUGCAAGUCGAGCGGAGAUGAGGUGCUUGCACCUUAUCUUAGCGGCGGACGGGUGAGUAAUGCUUAGGAAUCUGCCUAUUAGUGGGGGACAACAUUCCGAAAGGAAUGCUAAUACCGCAUACGUCCUACGGGAGAAAGCAGGGGAUCUUCGGACCUUGCGCUAAUAGAUGAGCCUAAGUCGGAUUAGCUAGUUGGUGGGGUAAAGGCCUACCAAGGCGACGAUCUGUUGCGGGUCUGAGAGGAUGAUCCGCCACACUGGGACUGAGACACGGCCCAGACUCCUACGGGAGGCAGCAGUGGGGAAUAUUGGACAAUGGGGGGAACCCUGAUCCAGCCAUGCCGCGUGUGUGAAGAAGGCCUUAUGGUUGUAAAGCACUUUAAGCGAGGAGGGGGCUACUGAGACUAAUACUCUUGGAUAGUGGACGUUACUCGCAGAAUAAGCACCGGCUAACUCUGUGCCAGCAGCCGCCGUAA
This 501-nucleotide ribosomal RNA is filed under the name uncultured bacterium. RNAcentral's name for it is "partial 16S ribosomal RNA". It matches the Rfam family "Bacterial small subunit ribosomal RNA", at positions 30 to 523 of the family's 1533-position model. The record is from RNAcentral.